GGUGGAGUGGCAGAGUGGCCUAUUGCGCUGGUCUUGAAAACCAGUAGCGCCUCGCGCUUCGGGGGUUCAAAUCCCUCCUCCACCG
RNAcentral lists this transfer RNA (85 nucleotides) under Halorubrum sp. ASP1. Its description in RNAcentral is "tRNA-Ser". It matches the Rfam family "tRNA". Rfam says of the family: Transfer RNA (tRNA) molecules are approximately 80 nucleotides in length. Their secondary structure includes four short double-helical elements and three loops (D, anti-codon, and T loops). Further hydrogen bonds mediate the characteristic L-shaped molecular structure. tRNAs have two regions of fundamental functional importance: the anti-codon, which is responsible for specific mRNA codon recognition, and the 3' end, to which the tRNAs corresponding amino acid is attached (by aminoacyl-tRNA synthetases). tRNAs cope with the degeneracy of the genetic code in two manners: having more than one tRNA (with a specific anti-codon) for a particular amino acid; and 'wobble' base-pairing, i.e. permitting non-standard base-pairing at the 3rd anti-codon position. The record is from RNAcentral. Lineage: Archaea; Methanobacteriati; Methanobacteriota; Halobacteria; Halobacteriales; Haloferacaceae.